RNAcentral lists this transfer RNA (77 nucleotides) under candidate division GN15 bacterium. Its description in RNAcentral is "tRNA-Pro". The record is from RNAcentral.
CGGAGCGUGGCGCAGCCAGGUAGCGCACUCCCUUGGGGUGGGAGAGGUCGGCCGUUCAAAUCGGCUCGCUCCGACCA